UAGCAUAUCAAUAAGCGGAGGAAAAGAAACCAACAGGGAUUGCCCUAGUAACGGCGAGUGAAGCGGCAAUAGCUCAAAUUUGAAAUCUGGCUCUCUUGCGGGGUCCGAGUUGUAAUUUGUAGAGGGUGCUUUGGCGUUGGCGGCGGUCUAAGUUUCUUGGAACAGGACAUCACAGAGGGUGAGAAUCCCGUAUGUGGUCGCCGACCUUCGCUGUGUAAAGCCCCUUCGACGAGUCGAGUUGUUUGGGAAUGCAGCUCUAAAUGGGAGGUAAAUUUCUUCUAAAGCUAAAUACUGGCCAGAGACCGAUAGCGCACAAGUAGAGUGAUCGAAAGAUGAAAAGCACUUUGGAAAGAGAGUCAAACAGCACGUGAAAUUGUUGAAAGGGAAGCGCUUGCAGCCAGACUUGCUUGUAGUUGCUCAUCCGGGCGUUUCGCCCGGUGCACUCUUCUGCAGGCAGGCCAGCAUCAGUUUGGGCGGCCGGAUAAGGGUCUCUGUCACGUAUUUCUCUACGGAGUAACCUUAUAGGGGAGGCGUAGUACGGUCAGCCCGGACUGAGGUCCGCGCUUCUGCUAGGAUGCUGGCGUAAUGGCUGUAAGCGGCCCGUCUUGAAACACGGACCAAGGAGUCUAACAUCUAUGCGAGUGUUUGGGUGUCAAGCCCGAGCGCGCAAUGAAAGUGAACGGAGGUGGGAACCUUAGGGUGCACCAUCGACCGAUCCUGAUGUCUUCGGAUGGAUUUGAGUAAGAGCAUAGCUGUUGGGACCCGAAAGAUGGUGAACUAUGCUUGAAUAGGGUGAAGCCAGAGGAAACUCUGGUGGAGGCUCGCAGCGGUUCUGACGUGCAAAUCGAUCGUCAAAUUUGGGCAUAGGGGCGAAAGACUAAUCGAACUAUCUAGUAGCUGGUUCCUGCA
This 909-nucleotide ribosomal RNA is filed under the name Pleomonodictys capensis. Its description in RNAcentral is "eukaryotic LSU rRNA". It matches the Rfam family "Eukaryotic large subunit ribosomal RNA", at positions 36 to 962 of the family's 3401-position model. The record is from RNAcentral. Lineage: Eukaryota; Fungi; Ascomycota; Dothideomycetes; Pleosporales; Pleomonodictydaceae.